This 432-nucleotide ribosomal RNA is filed under the name uncultured bacterium. RNAcentral describes it as "partial 16S ribosomal RNA". It matches the Rfam family "Bacterial small subunit ribosomal RNA", at positions 29 to 506 of the family's 1533-position model. The record is from RNAcentral.
AACGAACGCUGGCGGCAUGCCUAACACAUGCAAGUCAAACGAGACCUUCGGGUCUAGUGGCGCACGGGUGCGUAACGCGUGGGAACCUGCCCUUAGGUUCGGAAUAACUCCCCGAAAGGGGUGCUAAUACCGGAUAAUGUCUUCGGACCAAAGAUUUAUCGCCUUUGGAUGGGCCCGCGUUGGAUUAGCUAGUUGGUAGGGUAAAAGCCUACCAAGGCGACGAUCCAUAGCUGGUCUGAGAGGAUGAUCAGCCACACUGGGACUGAGACACGGCCCAGACUCCUACGGGAGGCAGCAGUGGGGAAUAUUGGACAAUGGGCGAAAGCCUGAUCCAGCAAUGCCGCGUGAGUGAUGAAGGCCUUAGGGUUGUAAAGCUCUUUUACCCGGGAUGAUAAUGACAGUACCGGGAGAAUAAGCUCCGGCUAACUCCGU